GACGAACGCUGGCGGCGUGCUUAACACAUGCAAGUCGAACGGAAAGGCCCUGCUUUUGUGGGGUGCUCGAGUGGCGAACGGGUGAGUAACACGUGAGUAACCUGCCCUUGACUUUGGGAUAACUUCAGGAAACUGGGGCUAAUACCGGAUAGGAGCUCCUGCUGCAUGGUGGGGGUUGGAAAGUUUCGGCGGUUGGGGAUGGACUCGCGGCUUAUCAGCUUGUUGGUGGGGUAGUGGCUUACCAAGGCUUUGACGGGUAGCCGGCCUGAGAGGGCGACCGGCCACAUUGGGACUGAGAUACGGCCCAGACUCGUACGGGAGGCAGCAGUGGGGAAUAUUGCACAAUGGGCGGAAGCCUGAUGCAGCAACGCCGCGUGCGGGAUGACGGCCUUCGGGUUGUAAACCGCUUUCGCCUGUGACGAAGCGUGAGUGACGGUAAUGGGUAAAGAAGCACCGGCUAACUACGUG
RNAcentral lists this ribosomal RNA (468 nucleotides) under uncultured bacterium. RNAcentral describes it as "partial 16S ribosomal RNA". It matches the Rfam family "Bacterial small subunit ribosomal RNA", at positions 28 to 507 of the family's 1533-position model. The record is from RNAcentral.